This 448-nucleotide ribosomal RNA is filed under the name uncultured bacterium. Its description in RNAcentral is "SSU rRNA". It matches the Rfam family "Bacterial small subunit ribosomal RNA", at positions 26 to 518 of the family's 1533-position model. The record is from RNAcentral.
AGAGCGAACGCUGGCGGCAGGCUUAACACAUGCAAGUCGAGCGGGCGUAGCAAUACGUCAGCGGCAGACGGGUGAGUAACGCGUGGGAACGUACCUUUUGGUUCGGAACAACCCAGGGAAACUUUGGCUAAUACCGGAUAAGCCCUUACGGGGAAAGAUUUAUCGCCGAAAGAUCGGCCCGCGUCUGAUUAGCUAGUUGGUGAGGUAAUGGCUCACCAAGGCGACGAUCAGUAGCUGGUCUGAGAGGAUGAUCAGCCACAUUGGGACUGAGACACGGCCCAAACUCCUACGGGAGGCAGCAGUGGGGAAUAUUGGACAAUGGGCGCAAGCCUGAUCCAGCCAUGCCGCGUGAGUGAUGAAGGCCCUAGGGUUGUAAAGCUCUUUUGUGCGGGAAGAUAAUGACGGUACCGCAAGAAUAAGCCCCGGCUAACUUCGUGCCAGCAGCCGC